Jatropha curcas is the source of this 2928-nucleotide non-coding RNA. Lineage: Eukaryota; Viridiplantae; Streptophyta; Magnoliopsida; Malpighiales; Euphorbiaceae. The record is from RefSeq and is a predicted model, not a curated record.
CUUGAGGAUUCAUUGUUUGUGGGUAUUGAAGUGGGCCAAUCGAUGGUGAUCGAUGACCCAGAUGGACAAUUCUGGGUUACAGCUUUGGAUGCGAAUCACUGCCCUGAAUAUGUGAGAUCAUGCUUUCCAUGUUCUAUUAGCAUUGUUUGGUUUUAGUUGUCUUCUAUGUGCAAGUGAAUGUACUGAAUCAUUUAGUUUUUGCAUUGGCAUCUGUAACUCGACGUACUUAUACAGCAGCAAUUUCAGGAUGUCUUGCUGUAUUCAGAAACUCGAUAAUUUAGGAGAUGUUUCUUUUGUUUAGAACCAAAGUUAAAAAACAAUGGUAAAUCCAUCACUCAAAUAGCCGACCAAUGGAAUUUACUAAUCCAGUCAACCACAGAAAGAAAUAAGAGUAGCAAGUGUCUGUCUUAUCUGUUGCUGGAAACUAUCUUUGUUGUUCCCUGCAGACCAUGUUGAUAAGUUUAAUGAGAACUCAAGCAUGGGAUGCUUAUGAUACUUUUGAGUAUGAUAUUUAAUCAAUGUGUAUUCAUACAAAAGAAGAAGUAACUAUUAUUAUUAUUAUCUUUUUAAUCUUUGAUGAGGUCCUAAUAAAAUUCCAAAACACUUUUUUGUGUGCUGAGACCCUGUCGCUGAAGUACUUUAACUUGAAGCAAGUGCAAUUUUCAAUUGAACAAUUCUUAAGUCGCUCUAGAGCACCUAGCUCAGUUAACUUCGCAAUCUCCUUGGUUUUAGAAUUUUUAUAAGCUGUCCUGCAUUAGUACAUUGUGUUUUCACCACCUUGAAAGUAAUGCAUGAGCAUAUGACAUGUUUGGAUUAAUCUUGCUUGCUCGAUCUUUUAAAUAUUUAAGUGACCUACAAAUGAUUUUUGGAGAACACCAGUUACAGAUGAUCCCUUGUCUGGCAUGGAUUUAUGAACUUCAGGAGCUUUAAUGUUCUUGUUUGAGGGCAUUUUCGGUAAUAUCUUGCACACAGGAGAUUGUAGGCUCACUCCAGAGUGUCUGCAAUGUUUUCCAGAGAAGUAUAUUAACAAGAAAGGAAGAGAGCCUAGAUGCCAACUUGAUUAUGUUUUCCUAGACUGCACAUUCGGGAGAUUUCAUCAGAAACUUCCAGGCAAACAUUCAGCAACCCAACAGGUUAUCAAUUGUAUAUGGAAGCACCCUGCAGCAACUGUUGUGUAUCUGACUUGCGAUCUUCUCGGUCAGGAGGAUAUAUUGGCUGAUGUGUCUCAAACAUUUGGUUCUAAAAUAUAUGUUGACAAAACUGCCAAUCCCGAAUGCUUUCAAGCCCUGACACACACAGUUCCUCAAAUCCUCACUGAAGAUCCAUCUUCACGUUUCCAUGUGUUUGAUGGAUUUCCGAAAUUGUCUGAACGAGCUGCUGCAAAACUCGCGGAGGCCCAGGCUAAUUUUCAACCAGAGCCUCUGAUUAUUCGCCCUUCAGCACAGUGGUAUGCAUGCGAGGAAGGUGAUUCUGGCACUGAAAGUCAAAGAAAACUAAGGUUCAAUGAAGCUGUGAGGGACUCAUUUGGUGUUUGGCAUGUUUGUUACUCUAUGCAUUCUUCUAGAGAAGAGUUGGAGUGGGCACUGCAGCUUCUUGUACCUAAAUGGGUUGUGUCAACAACUCCCAAUUGCCGAGCUAUGGAGCUAGACUAUGUUAGGAAAUGCUCCUUUGGAACUCGAUUAACUUCAAAUGAUGAUCCUAUCUGGAAGCUUUUGGACAUAAGUGUGGAAACCUCUUCAAGAGCAGAUACAUCAGCAAAAGGCUUGGGUUAUUCUCUUGUAGUUCAAGGGCCCACACAAAUUUCCGAGGAAUAUCAAUUGCAGCCAGAAAAACCAUCUUCUAGCCAUCUCUUGAGUUUGUCACCCCCGAGCAAUAGGCCACCCCUUACUUUAUUUGGUAGAGCUAGACUCUCUUUCCAAGACUCAAAUUCCCCGCUCAAGGACAAAAUUGUGUUCAUAAAUGAUCUAUCUCCACAAGUUACUACAAAGAAAAUAGGUCAAGGAGUUCAAGUUGAAGAGAGUGAAGUGAAAUGUAGAAAUAAAUUGCAGAGGAAGCUAGAUAUUUGUAUUGCUGAAGAAAAAUGUGAGAACUCAGUGAAGAACGAGGCGCAUAAAGUUGCACCUUAUUCCCCAAUUGGAUCAUCAAGCAAUUUUAGCCAUAACCUGAGAAAAUAUUAUAGGUCAAUGAAUGUGCCUGUGCCUCAGCCUCUUCCCUCGUUGGUGAAACUGAUGGAUUCCAAGAGAAAAAACAAGAGGAGAAUCGAGUCCUAAUCCUUGAAACGAGGAAAUUUAAUUUAAUGGCAUACUGCUUUGUUAUGGUUGGGUGGGUUUCUUUCCACUUCUUCCAGCAAUUUGGAGGAGAUUCUCUUCUCUCAGUAUAGUAGGGAGCAAACACUGUUUUCUCGCUCCAGUAUCUGAACUUGUCUGAUUAAGAUGGCUAUUACAAGAUAUGGGCGUAUCUCCAUCUAAUGUGUCAAUCAAAUCAAAGUACCAUCUAGAUUGUUUGUCAUCACCUUGUCAAGGACACUCUUCUUCGUCUCAUUUUGGUUCAUUUUGAUAUCUUCACGAAAGCCCAUCCACCUGAGCAGUUUCAUGACUUACCUUUGUGAGCUCAAGUUAGCAACUUGACUCAUCUAAUUAUGGUAGACACCGAUUUCUGCGCAAAAAUCAAAUCGGGAGGAGACACAAAUGACUACGAGCUUGGCUGACGUUAGAGUUUCAUUUAGGAUGUAUGAUUUGAGACAAACUGGAUGUAUUGUACAAGAAGAAGUGAAGAUAUACUGUACUGUGAUUUUUUUUUUAUUUUUUAUUUUUUUGAAUAAGUAAUGUGAUGCAGGAGUUCUUCAUUAAUAUCUAUGAAGUAUUUUCAAUCUAGGAUUAGCUAGGAUUUGUCCUAACUAGAAUAAAUAAGACGACAAUUAUCAGAUUA